UUCCACACAUGCGCCUUGGUCCAAGAUAGUUGCACAGUAGUCUUAACCGUGUGAGUACUGAACUUUUCUUGAACAUCUUGUAGCUUGUACUACACCUCCAGCAGCACAAGUCAAUCAUAAAACUUUAACCAAUGAGAAAAAAGUAUCAUCUCCAUAUAAAGCCCUGUCAGGCAUAGCUCUUCCUCUUUGAUGUGAAACAGUCUAUGAAAACAUCAGGAAAC
Molecule: non-coding RNA, 221 nt
Organism: Pelobates cultripes (western spadefoot toad)
Lineage: Eukaryota; Metazoa; Chordata; Amphibia; Anura; Pelobatidae
Source: the annotation of a GenBank genome assembly